UAGAGCGAGCCCGGCGUGUGAUCUUAUUGGUAGUGUGGUUGUUAAUCUAUCAUAAGACACACGCGGCUCUCUCUC
Molecule: microRNA precursor, 75 nt
Filed under: Heliconius melpomene (postman butterfly)
Lineage: Eukaryota; Metazoa; Arthropoda; Insecta; Lepidoptera; Nymphalidae
Description: mir-970 microRNA precursor family
Rfam family: mir-970 microRNA precursor family
Source: Rfam by way of RNAcentral